This is a long non-coding RNA of Amphiprion ocellaris (clown anemonefish), 3054 nucleotides long. RefSeq lists it as uncharacterized. The transcript has 3 exons. The record is from RefSeq and is a predicted model, not a curated record. Lineage: Eukaryota; Metazoa; Chordata; Actinopteri; Pomacentridae.
CGUGACCAAACCACGCCUCGGCACAGUGGCUCGAUACGUUUGCUUCAUGAGCUACAGCGCAUGUGUCGAAGCCUCGGGUAUCAGAGGACCAUCACUAUCUCUGGCUGCUGUUGACCUUGUUUUUGGAGUAAAACACGGUGGAAGCUGAAUUAGUGAGGAUGACUCCUGCUCCUCACUCUAAGCUCCUCACACAUCUUUACCUGCACAUGAGGAAAAUCACUCCUGUAGAAUGCAGAUGUUCAGAGGGAGAUGAUGCCACAUCUGGUCCAGCUGAUGGAAGGUCUUGAAGUUCUCUGACUGGCCUCGACUGAAGAUGGUCGUCUCACUGGAUUUAAGGUUCAGAUGCUCAGUAACAAACUCCACCAAUGAGCCAACAGGGAAGCUUUAGGUUUAUUAAAUGUUACUAUGAAGGUUUCGCUGUUUUUCUUUGUGAAUGCAAUGUGCUCCAACUGAAACUUGAAUUAGAACUUAGAAGUAAAUCCUUCCAUCUGAAAGAAUUAGUUGCAUUAAUAACCUCAUAACAUUCUAAUUUUUAUUCCAGUCUUGGUUGGAAAUAGAAUCUCUGUAGUGAUUCAGGUAAAAACUGAACUUCACAGCAUGUUGGAGCAAAACAACCAGAUGAAAACUGUGAUGGUGUUGGAUUGUCAGACCGUAAUGUUGCAGCUCAAAGCAGCUUUUCUAUCUCAGUUCAUUCUGACAUUCAGCUAUGAAUCAACACAGCAGAUGGUGAUCCAUGCUGUGGAAGUCUCACAUCUCCUGAUUUAAUGGAGCUGCUUUGCACUUUUUACACUGUUUAUUCACCAACACUUUAUUUAAUAAAAGUCCCAUCGAGUUUUUAUGAGGAAUGUGAUGUUUUAAUUUCUCUGUGAAUAACUGCAGUCUAAUGCAACAGCUGGAGUUGUAACAUCUGUCCUGAUAUUGAUCAUGAAGUAUUGAUCAGAAUACUUAUGGUCAGCAGUCAUCCCUGAAGUUUUACAUUAAAAUCUUUACUUGUGUUGUGAACUUUGGUAAGAAGCAGAAACGUUAGCAUUGCCAUGGAUACAUGAGUGUUAAAUUCUGUCCAUGUUUCAUUUUGGGAAAUGCAGUCCAGUUCCAGAAUGUGGAGGAAUUUAGUCUCACAAUCACAGACAACAAAUAUUAUCUGAAAGUCGGGUUAUUGUUGUUUAUCAGCACAAUACAAAAAGAUUAAUGUUAGAAAUAUUCCAGUUAAGACUCUAGAAUAUCAUGAUUUAUGUAAAUUUACCUCAAUAAUAUGAAUGUUCAGGUUAAGAUUGUGCAGUGAUAUUUAUAAUGUAAGUUUAGCUGAUUAAAGUUUAUGACUCUGCACUAAAAUAUUAUUUAAAUUGACAUCAUUAUUAUAAUAUUUAGGGUCAGACCCUACAGUAUUGAGAUUAAGAAAUCAAAUAUUCUAUAAAAUGUAAAUACACUGAACUCAUUUGGAUAUAUUUAAGUGAGACUCUACAAUAUUAUUUGACAAAUCUAUCUAAAUCAAAAUUUUAAUCAUUUUUACUCGAAACAUUUACUGAUCUGAUUUAAAUAUUAAAAUCACUCCUUUCUAAUCCUCUGCUGUACAUUCAAACCUGAGGCCUUAAAUAGAAACACACAAGUAUCUGAUUGAAGGAACUUCUGCAGAGUCCUGGUUCCAGAACAUGAUGAUAGAAUUAUAGACAAACUUUAACAAAAGCUGCCUGAGAGUUUACAGGUUUUUAUGUUGGAUUUCUUCAGUAAUUUAAUGAGAGUUAUCGGCAAAAAUCAAGUGUUCAUUUGAUGAACUUCAUUUCCUGAAACAUCCAGAAUUGGAGCUCAUAUCUUUGGCAGCUGUAAAGUUUCUGCUCCUUCAAAGUUCACAACACAAUGAAUUAAUUCCUAAAACCCUCUCAAUGCUGGAGAGCGUUUGUGACGCUGAAGCAGUGAUCAGUUUUUCUGUUUCUUCUCUGGAGCUGCACAAUGAGGGACGUCUGCAGCGACUGAGAAAGAGUCUCACCACAUCCUGACAUGAGGAAAAAGACUUUAUUGAAGACUAUAAUGAGGAAAACUAUCAGACAGCAGAUGGCUGCAUUCAAGGUGAGCUCUGAACAUUUGAUCUGGAACAGGAAUUCAAUAACGGCAGCAUGAGCUUCAUUUCAGUCUGUAGCUGCUGAAUUCAUGGAUGAAUCAUCUGGCACUAGAGAGGAAGACCAUCAAACAUCCACUAAACAACCCUUUCAGGUCUAUAUUUGAGGUUUUAGGUGGAACAUUCCUUUUAACCAGCCCCUCAGGUCUCUGAGGAUUUUGGAUGGAAUACUGGGUUAAACCAACAUUUUAGGUGCAUGUCCAAGGAUUUCUGGUGGAAUGUUCCUUUAAGGUGGAUGUGUGAGGACCUUGUAGGUGGAAUACUCUCUGAAACCAACCUUUUAGGUCACCAUUCAAAGAUUUAAGGUGGAACAUUCCUUUAAACCAAGCUAAAUUUUAUGUUUUGAUCAUUAUCAAGUGAGAAACCUCAAUCCAGACUCCUCAUAAUGACUGUUACGGCUGUGGCCGUAUUAUGUAAUAUUGUGUUUGUAGUUUUGAACUGUUUUGUUGUCUGGGAGUGGGUGCUCUGUGUUUGUGUGCAUCUUUGUCUCGUCCUUGUUUUCUGUGUAAGUGGUCUGUUUCGUCCUGUUGGUUUGUAGUGGGUGUUCUGUGUUUGUCUGUAAAUCUUUGUGUGCAGGAGCUGUUACUGGUGGCGAUGGUGGCAAGGUGGACCCAGCGCUGAUUGGCUGUUCACCAUUUUUAAUCUUGGCGGCUGGCAGUGAUGGAGGAGACUGACAGCAGCACCCUUUGUUUUCCCAGACUCCAACCUUUUGCUUGAUACCCGUUUUUCUUCUUAGAUUAAGAUAGUGUGGUUUUUGUUUGUUAGACUUAGGUUUCUUUUUGUAGUAGUUGUGGUUUUGUUGGAUAGGAUCUUUCGUUUGAGUGCUAAAAUGCCUCUUUAGUUUGUAUCCAGUUCUUUUGUUGCUUGAAUGAAUAACCCAUGUGGUGGCCUGUUUUAUUUGUAAAAUAUUGUAAAUAAAUCUUUUGUAUUUUUUCUAAGAA